Molecule: long non-coding RNA, 346 nt
Filed under: Phascolarctos cinereus (koala)
Lineage: Eukaryota; Metazoa; Chordata; Mammalia; Diprotodontia; Phascolarctidae
Description: lncRNA (ENSPCIG00000030827.1)
Source: RNAcentral
AAACGACAUUACUUACACUCAGAGAGUUGACCCGAUUACAAUUUAUUGAGGUGGAAACAAACCUGAAAGUGUAAACCAUUCAAACUUUGGCUGGUCUUCCAGGAUGUUGCUACCAUCUCCAGUGAACCACCGUGGAAUGAACAGGGAACUUCCUUCACCACGAACUGUCACGAAGCACUUGGAAUUCUGCAGAUUUAAAGCUGGAAAGGGGUCUUAGCGAUCCUGACACUUUGGAACAUUUUUUCUGUCCAUAGCUUGAAUGUCUGCCUGUGAAAACUCUCUGUUCAUAAUAAGAAAUUCCGUUUUGGACAUGGACAUUCUGGGAAUAUAUUUUGCUUGACUGUGC